UACUAUUUUGCACAUUGUUUUCCGUUGGAAGCUUAAUCCUAAAACCAACCGCCUUUUGAGUGCUUUCUUCUUGAGGAUCUAGUGUCUUCUGUCUCUCCUGGCCAUAAUGGAUCUCAGAUUAAUUGAAGUGUCCUUUAGGUUGAAUUUAAGAUCUAACAACAACAUCAUCAACCUAGCUACUCUGCUGGUAUCAUUACCAAGAGCAAUAAGAUCACGCAGAAAUCAUCAAACUAGAGCAUUACCAGUUAAUGAUGACAUUCCCUACCCAAUUCAAGAAACAAGUCGUGAUCAGCUACAUACUGCUAUACAUCUUCCAGAUGGGAGGCUCAUGCCAUUAAGAGCAUCCCAAGGACCUUCAAUUGUCUGAUGAUGCCAGGGCCAGGAGAGACAGAUGGAAAGCAGGCAAUCGAUAUUGGUUUUAUAAAGUGUGACAGGUCUUAUCCAUAGGAACAUACCUGUGUGAAGACAAGUGUUGUCGCACUUGACAUGUGACAAGUUGUAUCCAUAGACCUGUUGUUUAACACAGGCCGUGGAAGAGAAGUCUUGUCGCAUUUAACGUCUAAAGGUUCAUAUAUACAGUCAGGCUGUUUGUGCCCCUGAAACUAUUGUGGAGGUCAUUAGUGCCAAGGAAUCCCUCUACAACAGUUGUGUGCAAACCAUUUUUAGCCACUGUGAGCUUCUAUAUGAACCCUUUACUUUGCACAUUAUGUAAAGUAAACAAGGAGACUAAUAAAACCAAGAGUACCUUACGUAUAGUCUUGGUAAAACGUGGAACAUAUUUCUAACGUUAAUCAUUAGUCUCUGAGGAAUUGCAGCUUUACGAGUUUUUCCUCAUAAUGAGAUGGAACUUGAACAAAGCGCAUAGGGUAAUUAGCCUUACAUUGAGAUGAUCGUUAUUGACAUCUCAUUAGAGUUACAUACGUAUGUAAUUCAUUUUUUUUCCUCACAAUUAACCACAUUGAAGGCAUGUUGUGACUCUUAGCUAAAAGUCUCACAAUUCAAUGCAUUGAUUCAAUGUGUGUUAUAGACGGUUUAGAAUUCCUUGGCAAACCAUAGCAAUUGUCUUGCCUACCAUCUGUCUUUCCAGCCCUUGCAUGACAGAACAGUAACAUUUUAUUAAUGUUAAAUGUCAAUUUAUGAUUCUUUUUGUCAUCUUUUUUUGUCACUGAUCUUUUUGUCAUCUUUUUUUGUCAUUGAUCUUUUGUGUGAUCUUUUUUGGUAAUCUUUUUCCCUCUUUAUUUACUAACAAUAACAAUUUAACCAGCUAACUCAAACUGCUGAGCUAAGUUGUCGGGGGUUCCCAGGGAAAUCACCUAAUUAAGCUAAAAUUGACAAUAGUAAGACAAUGGUUAAAGGAAUGCAAAUAAAUGUCACCACAUCAGAAUCUUGCUCGUAAAUAUCAAUUUGUCCUAAAGUUAUAAAUGUGAAAUGAACAACAUGUUGACACAUUUAAAUGUCCAUACAAUCCUAAGGAAAGGUGACCUCAGAUGACAAUGGAUCUACAAUCUAUCAUAAUAGGAUUCUCCAUUGGAGUAGUAAUAGGCUGGUCUAUUAAGUGGUUUAGUAAAAGGGGCAUGAUUAAUGUGCAUGUUCAAAUGUAGCUCAGCAAAAUAAAGGUAUAUGUGUAGAGGCAUUGUUUACUAGCAAUAGAUAUUCUAAAAUAAAGAUCAAAACAAUUCAUAAACCUGUGUGCAUUGUCUAUACCAAACAUAGCAUAUCAAAUUAUUCAUUGUACUACAUUAUUAUUGUUCUCUUCAUGUGAUCCAAUUAGCUCAUAAUAACAUCACUUGUGACUAAUUUUAGAAUUAUAGACACAGCAGACUGAGUGAUUAUAAAACAAGUGAACUUCAUAUUUUGCACUGUUCUUAUUACUCUCUAUUGAAAUCCUAAUACUAAAACCAAUCACUUUUAUAGUCUUUUCUUCUUAAGGAUCUAUUAAAUCUGUCUCUCCUGGCCAUAAUGGAUCUCAGAUUAAUUGAAGUGUCCUUUGGGUUGAAUUUAAGAUCUAGCAACAACAUCAUCAACCUAGCUACUCUGCUGGUAUCAUUACCAAGAGCAAUAAGAUCACGCAGAAAUCAUCAAACUAGAGCAUUACCAGUUAAUGAUGACAUUCCCUACCCAAUUCAAGAAACAAGUCGUGAUCAGCUACAUACUGCUAUACAUCUUCCAGAUGGGAGGCUCAUGCCAUUAAGAGUAUCCCAAGGACCUUCAAUUGUCUGAUGAGGCCAGGGCCAGGAGAGACAGAUGGAAAGCAGGCAAAAUCUUAAAGUGAAAAUUUUAUCAAGCGUUCAACAAGUUUUUUAAUCAUACAGUGAGUUAUUGAUACAAAUUGAGAG
Molecule: long non-coding RNA, 2336 nt
Filed under: Amphimedon queenslandica
Lineage: Eukaryota; Metazoa; Porifera; Demospongiae; Haplosclerida; Niphatidae
Description: uncharacterized LOC109590797, transcript variant X2
Source: RNAcentral